This 789-nucleotide long non-coding RNA is filed under the name Sorghum bicolor (sorghum). Its description in RNAcentral is "long non-coding RNA (SBIC_LNC002042)". Lineage: Eukaryota; Viridiplantae; Streptophyta; Magnoliopsida; Poales; Poaceae. The record is from RNAcentral.
GCAUGAUUAACAUCUGCAACAACUACUAACAUUGGGCGUCUAAUAUUGGAGUUGGAGGAGCCUGCUCUUCAAGCAGGGCAGUGCAGGACUAUCUCUUGAUGUAUGCCACUGAAGUAAAUCGUAUGUUUGUUCUUGUGUGAUUGCACAAACACUUUCAGCAUUGCCACAAACUCAAAAAUCCCAGAAAACAAAAGAAAAUCCAUCCUCUACUUCUGAAGGCUGAAGCCACCAACCAACCUAUGGUCUCUGUACAUAUAAUGCCGUGUAUGAAAUGUAUUGGGACGAAAAAUACACUCUCUGGCUAUCUGCAACAAGGGAUAGAUCAUUAGGUAAAGUUGUAAAUGCAGAUAUAAAGAAUUAACCACCUGUAAAUAAGCAUAAAUGAAAAUGAGAUGAAUAGAGGAUUCCCUACUGCACCGUGUCUUUUAUUUUGUCCUCAUGAACCACGCUUGAUCAUGAUUAAAAAUACCUAACUAUCAUGUAAAAAAAGUAUUUCUACUUCAAGUAGCAUUCCCAGUAAGAUAAAUGACAGUGCAUGAUCAUAACAUCUAUUUUAUUUUAUUUUUGGCGACGAAAUUUAUCACCUCUAGUUCAGCUGAACGUAAAUGAGAUGCAACAUUUCCCCAACUAAUGGAAACAUUUGAAAUGUCAGGAUAAACAACAGAAGAACUGUGAACAAGAACUUACGGAUUCCUGGAUAGCACAAAUUUACGCAAGAAAAAGGGGAAAACAAAUGGGACUAGGAAGACACAGCUGAUCACCUACCUAAACUGUAAGAACAAGUGGAUC